CCUACGGGAGGCAGCAGUGGGGAAUAUUGGUCAAUGGGCGAAACACUGAACCAGCAACGCCGCGUGGAGGAUGAAGGCUUUCGGGUUGUAAACUUCUUUUGAUAGGGAAGAUCAGUACGGUAUCUCACGUGUAUACUCCGUCUCACUCUACGUCAGCAGCGGCGGUAAUAUGCAGGGUGCGCGCGUUAUACGGAAUGACCGGGCGUAAAGGGCGCGUAGGCGGGGUAGAAAGUCAGAUGUGAAAUCCUAUGGCUUAACCAGAGAACUGCAGUUGAAACUGGUUUUCUAGAGUAUGGGGGAGGUAAGUGGAAUUCUUGGUGUAGCGGUGAAAUGCGUAGAUAUCAAGAAGAAUACUCGUGGCGAAGGCGGCUGACUGGAACACAACUGACGCUGAGGCGCGAAAGCGUGGGGAGCAAACAGGAUUAGAUACCCGAGUAGUC
RNAcentral lists this ribosomal RNA (440 nucleotides) under uncultured bacterium. RNAcentral describes it as "partial 16S ribosomal RNA". It matches the Rfam family "Bacterial small subunit ribosomal RNA", at positions 338 to 795 of the family's 1533-position model. The record is from RNAcentral.